This 260-nucleotide ribosomal RNA is filed under the name uncultured Comamonadaceae bacterium. Its description in RNAcentral is "partial 16S ribosomal RNA". It matches the Rfam family "Bacterial small subunit ribosomal RNA", at positions 1120 to 1382 of the family's 1533-position model. The record is from RNAcentral. Lineage: Bacteria; Pseudomonadati; Pseudomonadota; Betaproteobacteria; Burkholderiales; Comamonadaceae.
UACAUUUAGUUGGGCACUCUAAUGAGACUGCCGGUGACAAACCGGAGGAAGGUGGGGAUGACGUCAAGUCCUCAUGGCCCUUAUAGGUGGGGCUACACACGUCAUACAAUGGCCGGUACAAAGGGCUGCCAACCCGCAGGGGGAGCCAAUCCCAUAAAACCGGUCGUAGUCCGGAUCGCAGUCUGCAACUCGACUGCGUGAAGUCGGAAUCGCUAGUAAUCGUGGAUCAGAAUGUCACGGUGAAUACGUUCCCGGGUCUU